UACGAGGGAUGCAAGCGUUAUCCGGAAUUAUUGGGCGUAAAGCGUUCGUAGGUGGUUCGGUAAGUCUGUCGUUAAAGCAUGGAGCUUAACUCCAUAUCGGCGAUGGAAACUGCCAAACUAGAGGGUGGUAGGGGUAACAGGAAUUCCCAGUGUAGCGGUGAAAUGCGUAGAUAUUGGGAAGAACACCAGCGGCGAAAGCGUGUUACUGGGCCACAACUGACACUGAGGGACGAAAGCUAGGGGAGCGAAAGGG
Molecule: ribosomal RNA, 253 nt
Filed under: uncultured bacterium
Lineage: Bacteria
Description: partial 16S ribosomal RNA
Rfam family: Bacterial small subunit ribosomal RNA
Source: RNAcentral